RNAcentral lists this long non-coding RNA (666 nucleotides) under Anas platyrhynchos platyrhynchos (common mallard). Its description in RNAcentral is "lncRNA (ENSAPLG00000016665.1)". The record is from RNAcentral. Lineage: Eukaryota; Metazoa; Chordata; Aves; Anseriformes; Anatidae.
AUGAUGCGUAUGUGUAUUAAAUGCAAUCCUUAUCUUAAAGAUACACUGUUCCGGAAGCGUCUAUACUCUCUGUACUUAGAGCCUUUGCAUGCUGCAAACCCUUUGGCUUGGCACGGUUGUGCAGGCGGCUGCCGCUGGGAGCCGGAGCCUCCCUCCUCCGCCCCCUUCGCCCUGCGGCCGACGAGAGCCGGGCCAGGGCCGUGGGGCCGGGGGGCUGCGGGAAUGCGGGGCUGGGGACCCGGGGGGCUGCGGGCUGGGGCUGCGGGGCUGCAGGGCGGCGGGGCAGGGAGCUGCGGCUCACGUGAUGCCGUGCUCGCAUACCGAUGUUUAAAGGUCUUAAUGGAGAGGGGAAAAAAAAAAAAAGUGUGGAUGCACUUAAAUUUCAAGUUUGGGAAUGGAUUUCUCUUUUCCCUGUCUGCCUGCCGGUGCGAAGGCUGGCUGAAACCCGCUAGCCCAUGCAAACGUGUCUACUCCAGAGAGAUGGGACCCUCCAGAAGAAACCUGCCCAGCAAUCCCAGCGAGCCUUCCCGCCAGAAGGAUGCCAGGAGGUACUGCCUCUACCUGCGACAAAGGCGCACGAUGGCACUUGGGGACGGGAGUCCUCCGCCGGCACCGGCAGCUGCUGCUUUACAACCUGUAGAGAUAAGACGGCCUCCCAUCAGAUGA